GCCAUACCUACCAACAAACAUUGAUACACACACACUCAUUGUUCAUUUUCCAAAGGGGAUACUUUCAAUGCACCACUGCUAAACAGGAGUUUUAUUGUCUCAGAGACAAAAAGUCAGGACAGAAUGGCCGUUUCACGUCUGCUCCUAGCUCUGUGCUUGAUCGCUGCUAUCCUCCCAAUGGCGGAAGCGCAAUUCAUUGAAGAAUUGUUGUGCUUUCUCGUACAACUCAUCGAUAGCAUCUCAGGUUGCGCGACACAAGACACUCCCUUCUGCAGCAUAGUCGACUCAAUUAUUGAUCCUCUUUGUCCAGGAUCUUCCAACUAAACGUACUGAGGUGCCACAGAAGUAAACUGUCCAGACAGCUUGACAACUGAGAGAAAAGAGCCUGGGCCCAAGCACCACCUGCAAAAUUAAUUGAGUAUCACUGACAAAUUUUAGAGUUUUGAUUUGAUUCAUGGUUUCGUCUCUGCGAUCCUUUUAUAUCACAUCAAUUUCAGUGGUGACAAAAUCGAUAGUAUCGAUUCAAGCAAUGAGACGAAGCUCACAUUUGCCACUUUCGUGAACACCUUUCUCCGUGGCAUCAGGGUCUACUGGAUGUUUUGCAAUUUAAGUUACAGCUGGUUCUGUUCUUUUCUGUGGUUGUUUUAUUUGGUUCCUUUUCGCUGUUUUCUUCUUUCUCUUAGCGUCGCUGUUCUAAAAGAGGGACUUCGGAUAAUUUAAUUUUCUCCUAGGAUAUACCAACGAAUGAAUUAAAUGUAUGUAAAUGCAAUUGUGGAAAUAAAAGCAGACGUUUGAUCUUACAAUACUGAUGA
Molecule: long non-coding RNA, 812 nt
Organism: Aplysia californica (California sea hare)
Lineage: Eukaryota; Metazoa; Mollusca; Gastropoda; Aplysiida; Aplysiidae
Exons: 4
Source: RefSeq, a predicted model, not a curated record